RNAcentral lists this unclassified non-coding RNA (367 nucleotides) under rhizosphere metagenome. RNAcentral's name for it is "partial ribosomal RNA internal transcribed spacer region". The record is from RNAcentral.
GUAGGUGAACCUGCGGAAGGAUCAUUUCUGAACUAAGGUAUUGAACUCUUUUAUUUUGGUGUUUGAGAAGUUUACUCUUUUCUUUCUAUCAAUUUACUGAGCCUUUACCUUAUCAAAGAGAGUGUGUGGUAUAAAUGUAAAGAAGAAAACGGGCAGUCAUUUACUUGAUUGCUUUAGUAUCUUCUACUAUUUUAUGAACCAAAAAACAUUUACUUUUUAUUGAUAAAAUCUAUAUUGGAAAAGCUCUUUUUUGUCUUGAUUUGAUUGUUGAUAUCUCGUAUAUCUUUGAUCUUAUUUUGUGGAAUUGAGUCUACCAACAUAAACAAAAUAUGACAUACAACUGUCAACGGUGGAUCUCUUGGCUCGG